RNAcentral lists this ribosomal RNA (253 nucleotides) under uncultured bacterium. RNAcentral's name for it is "partial 16S ribosomal RNA". It matches the Rfam family "Bacterial small subunit ribosomal RNA", at positions 524 to 776 of the family's 1533-position model. The record is from RNAcentral.
UACGGGGGGGGCAAGCGUUGUUCGGAAUUACUGGGCGUAAAGGGCGCGUAGGCGGACCUGCAAGUCGGGGGUGAAAGCCCGAGGCUCAACCUCGGAACUGCCUUCGAUACUGCGGGUCUCGAGUCCGGGAGAGGUGAGUGGAAUUCCUAGUGUAGAGGUGAAAUUCGUAGAUAUUAGGAAGAACACCAGUGGCGAAGGCGGCUCACUGGCCCGGUACUGACGCUGAGGCACGAAAGCGUGGGGAGCAAACAGG